AACGUACGCUGGCGGCACGCCUAACACAUGCAAGUCGAACGAAGUAGCAAUACUUAGUGGCAGACGGGUGAGUAACAUGUAGGUAUCUACCCUUUGGCCUGGAAUAACACGAGGAAACUUGUGCUAAUACCGGAUAAGUCUUUACGGAGAAAGCUUUAUGCACCAUUGGAUGAGCCUGCACUUGAUUAGUUUGUUGGUGGGGUAAUGGCCUACCAAGACUGUGAUCAAUAGCUGAUUUGAGAGGAUGAUCAGCCACAUUGGGACUGAGACACGGCCCAAACUCCUACGGGAGGCAGCAGUGGGGAAUCUUGCACAAUGGAGGAAACUCUGAUGCAGCGAUGCCGCGUGAGUGAAGAAGGCCCUUGGGUUGUAAAGCUCUUUCGUCGGGGAAGAAAAUGACUGUACCCGAAUAAGAAGGUCCGGCUAACUUCGUGCCAGCAGCCGCGGUAAUACGAAGGGACCUAGCGUAGUUCGGAAUUACUGGGCUUAAAGAGUUCGUAGGUGGUUGAAAAAGUUAGUGGUGAAAUCCCAGAGCUUAACUCUGGAACUGCCAUUAAAACUUUUCAGCUAGAGUAUGAUAGAGGAAAGCAGAAUUUCUAGUGUAGAGGUGAAAUUCGUAGAUAUUAGAAAGAAUACCAAUUGCGAAGGCAGCUUUCUGGAUCAUUACUGACACUGAGGAACGAAAGCAUGGGUAGCGAAGAGGAUUAGAUACCCUCGUAGUCCAUGCCGUAAACGAUGUGUGUUAGACGUUGGAAAUUUAUUUUCAGUGUCGCAGCGAAAGCGAUAAACACACCGCCUGGGGAGUACGACCGCAAGGUUAAAACUCAAAUGAAUUGACGGGGACCCGCACAAGUAGUGGAGCAUGUGGUUUAAUUCGAAGAUACGCGCAGAACCUUACCAACACUUGACAUGUUCGUCGCGACUUUAAGAGAUUAAAGUUUUCGGUUCGGCCGGACGAAACACAGGUGCUGCAUGGCUGUCGUCAGCUCGUGUCGUGAGAUGUUGGGUUAAGUCCCGCAACGAGCGCAACCCUCACUUUUAGUUGCCAUCAUUAAGUUGGGCACUCUGAAAGAACUGCCAGUGAUAAGCUGGAGGAAGGUGGGGAUGACGUCAAGUCCUCAUGGCCCUUACGUGUUGGGCUACACACGUGCUACAAUGGUAUCUACAACAGGAAGCAAGACUGCGAAGUUAAGCAAAUCCCUAAAAGAUACCUCAGUUCGGAUUGCACUCUGCAACUCGAGUGCAUGAAGCUGGAAUUACUAGUAAUCGUGGAUCAGCGUGCCACGGUGAAUGCGUUCCCGGGUCU
RNAcentral lists this ribosomal RNA (1306 nucleotides) under uncultured bacterium. RNAcentral describes it as "bacterial SSU rRNA". It matches the Rfam family "Bacterial small subunit ribosomal RNA", at positions 28 to 1381 of the family's 1533-position model. The record is from RNAcentral.